UACAGAGGUCUCAAGCGUUGUUCGGAUUCAUUGGGCGUAAAGGGUGCGUAGGCGGCGGGGCAAGUCAGGUGUGAAAUCCCGGAGCUCAACUCCGGAACUGCACUUGAUACUGCCUUGCUAGAGUACUGGAGAGGAGACUGGAAUUUACGGUGUAGCAGUGAAAUGCGUAGAUAUCGUAAGGAAGACCAGUGGCGAAGGCGGCAUCCUGGACCGGUAUUGACGCUGAGGCGCGAAAGCUAGGGGAGCAAACGGG
Molecule: ribosomal RNA, 253 nt
Filed under: uncultured bacterium
Lineage: Bacteria
Description: partial 16S ribosomal RNA
Rfam family: Bacterial small subunit ribosomal RNA
Source: RNAcentral